GAUGAACGCUGGCGGCGUGCCUAAUACAUGCAAGUCGAGCGAACGGACGAGAAGCUUGCUUCUCUGAUGUUAGCGGCGGACGGGUGAGUAACACGUGGAUAACCUACCUAUAAGACUGGGAUAACUUCGGGAAACCGGAGCUAAUACCGGAUAAUAUUUUGAACCGCAUGGUUCAAAAGUGAAAGACGGUCUUUCUGUCACUUAUAGAUGGAUCCGCGCUGCAUUAGCUAGUUGGUAAGGUAACGGCUUACCAAGGCAACGAUGCCUAGCCGACCUGAGAGGGUGAUCGGCCACACUGGAACUGAGACACGGUCCAGACUCCUACGGGAGGGAGCAGUAGGGAAUCUUCCGCAAUGGGCGAAAGCAUGACGGAGCAACGCCGCGUGAGUGAUGAAGGUCUUCGGAUCGUAAAACUCUGUUAUUAGGGAAGAACAUAUGUGUAAGUAACUGUGCACAUCUUGACGGUACCUAAUCAGAAAGCCACGGCUAACUACGUG
RNAcentral lists this ribosomal RNA (497 nucleotides) under uncultured bacterium. RNAcentral describes it as "partial 16S ribosomal RNA". It matches the Rfam family "Bacterial small subunit ribosomal RNA", at positions 28 to 507 of the family's 1533-position model. The record is from RNAcentral.